UGAAGAGUUUGAUCCUAGCUCAGGAUUAACGCUGGCGGUGUGCAUAACACAUGCAAGUCGAGCGCCCAGCAUUUUGCUCACAAAUUUCUACUGCGUCAGGAAUGAAAAAUUCACUCGCCGUAUUGCAUAUACGGCUCAUUGGAAUUUUCCAUCCCUUCCUUGUAAAAAUUUGCGGUCAAAAUGCUGGGAGCGGCAGACGGGUGAGUAACACGUUGGUAUCUGCCCCAUAGUCAGGGAUAAGCCUCAGAAAUGAGGUCUAAUACCGGAUAGUCCCGCAAGGGUAAAGAUUUAUCGCUAUGGGAGGAGCCUGCGGCUUAUCAGCUUGUUGGUGGGGUAACUGCCUACCAAGGCUAUGACGAGUAGCUGGUCUGAGAGGAUGAUCAGCCACAAUGGAACUGAGACACGGUCCAUACUCCUACGGGAGGCAGCAGUGAGGAAUCUUCCGCAAUGGGCGAAAGCCUGACGGAGCAACACCGCGUGGGGGAUGACGGUCGUAAGAUUGUAAACUCCUUUUCUGAGGGAAGAAUUCUGACGGUACCUCAGGAAUAAGCAACGGCUAACUCCGUGCCAGCAGCCGC
This 578-nucleotide ribosomal RNA is filed under the name Candidatus Peregrinibacteria bacterium. Its description in RNAcentral is "bacterial SSU rRNA". It matches the Rfam family "Bacterial small subunit ribosomal RNA", at positions 1 to 518 of the family's 1533-position model. Lineage: Bacteria; Candidatus Peregrinibacteriota. The record is from RNAcentral.